CGGCAACGGAUAUCUCGGCUCUCGCAUCGAUGAAGAACGUAGCGAAAUGCGAUACUUGGUGUGAAUUGCAGAAUCCCGUGAACCAUCGAGUCUUUGAACGCAAGUUGCGCCCGAAGCCAUCAGGCCGAGGGCACGCCUGCUUGGGCGUCACACGUCGUUGCCCCC
Molecule: ribosomal RNA, 165 nt
Filed under: Malus toringoides
Lineage: Eukaryota; Viridiplantae; Streptophyta; Magnoliopsida; Rosales; Rosaceae
Description: 5.8S ribosomal RNA
Rfam family: 5.8S ribosomal RNA (bases 3-150)
About the family: 5.8S ribosomal RNA (5.8S rRNA) is a component of the large subunit of the eukaryotic ribosome. It is transcribed by RNA polymerase I as part of the 45S precursor that also contains 18S and 28S rRNA.
Source: RNAcentral